CAGGUAGGACUACCCGCUGAACUUAAGCAUAUCAAUAAGCG
This 41-nucleotide ribosomal RNA is filed under the name Descolea alba. RNAcentral describes it as "partial 28S ribosomal RNA". The record is from RNAcentral. Lineage: Eukaryota; Fungi; Basidiomycota; Agaricomycetes; Agaricales; Bolbitiaceae.